CCUACGGGAGGCUGCAGUGGGGAAUAUUGCACAAUGGGGGAAACCCUGAUGCAGCGACGCCGCGUGAGUGAAGAAGUAAUUCGUUACGUAAAGCUCUAUCAGCAGGGAAGAAAAUGACGGUACCUGAGUAAUAAGCCCCGGAUAACUCCGUGCCAGCAGCCGCGGUAAUACGUAGGGGCAAAGCGUUAUCCGGAUUUACUGGGUGGAAAGGGAGCGUGGACUGUGUGCCAAGUCUGGAGUGAAAUGCCGCAGCUUAACUGCGGGACUGCUUUGGAUACUGGCGAACUAGAGUGAGGGAGGGGUAAGCGGAAUUCUUAGUGUAGCGGUGAAAUGCGUAGAUAUUAGGAGGAACACCGGUGGCGAAGGCGGCUUACUGGACCUUAACUGACGUUGAGGCUCGAAAGCGUGGGGAGCAAACAGGAUUAGAUACCCCAGUAGUC
Molecule: ribosomal RNA, 440 nt
Filed under: uncultured bacterium
Lineage: Bacteria
Description: partial 16S ribosomal RNA
Rfam family: Bacterial small subunit ribosomal RNA
Source: RNAcentral